This 497-nucleotide ribosomal RNA is filed under the name uncultured bacterium. Its description in RNAcentral is "partial 16S ribosomal RNA". It matches the Rfam family "Bacterial small subunit ribosomal RNA", at positions 29 to 507 of the family's 1533-position model. The record is from RNAcentral.
ACGAACGCUGGCGGCGUGCCUAAUACAUGCAAGUCGAACGAGAGCGACCGGUGCUUGCACUGGUCAAUCUAGUGGCGAACGGGUGAGUAACACGUGGGUAACCUGCCCAUCAGAGGGGGAUAACAUUCGGAAACGGAUGCUAAAACCGCAUAGGUCUUCGAACCGCAUGGUUUGAAGAGGAAAAGAGGCGCAAGCUUCUGCUGAUGGAUGGACCCGCGGUGCAUUAGCUAGUUGGUGAGGUAACGGCUCACCAAGGCCGUGAUGCAUAGCCGACCUGAGAGGGUGAUCGGCCACAUUGGGACUGAGACACGGCCCAAACUCCUACGGGAGGCAGCAGUAGGGAAUCUUCCGCAAUGGACGCAAGUCUGACGGAGCAACGCCGCGUGAGUGAAGAAGGUGUUCGGAUCGUAAAACUCUGUUGUUAGAGAAGAAUAAGUGCUAGAGUAACUGUUAGCGCCUUGACGGUAUCUAACCAGAAAGCCACGGCUAACUACGUG